CUAUAAACCAUAACAACAACCAUAAACCAUGUAAAACCCCAAGCUAUCUACAUUAAAUCCUAAACCAAACACCAAAGAUAAAUAGAAACCUUAUAACCAUAUAAAAAGCUAAACUUGGCUCCCCUACACAUUUCCCUGCCUUGGUCCAGCCCGGAACCUUCUUAAGGCAGUCGUUUCAGCCCCGGCCUCUUUUAGGGGACGGACCUGGACACAAGGACAAGGGCCCAACCACUCUACUAUAAAGUGCUGCAGUGCCACUGGAUCUAAAACCAGGAAAAGGAAAUGCAUUCAAUAAACAUUUAUACAAAUAACUGUGUGCAAUUAUUUCUUAAAUGUGCAAAUAUGCAUCCAUAAAGUGCUGUAUGCUAUCUAAAGUGCUAAAUAAAGUGCUUAAAUACAAA
Molecule: long non-coding RNA, 401 nt
Organism: Fundulus heteroclitus (mummichog)
Lineage: Eukaryota; Metazoa; Chordata; Actinopteri; Cyprinodontiformes; Fundulidae
Exons: 2
Source: RefSeq, a predicted model, not a curated record